RNAcentral lists this ribosomal RNA (465 nucleotides) under uncultured bacterium. RNAcentral describes it as "partial 16S ribosomal RNA". It matches the Rfam family "Bacterial small subunit ribosomal RNA", at positions 28 to 507 of the family's 1533-position model. The record is from RNAcentral.
GAUAAACGCUGACAGAAUGCUUAACACAUGCAAGUCGAUGAUGGGAGCUAGCUUGCUAGAAGAAGUCAUGGCGGACGGGUGAGUAACGUGUAAAGAACUUACCAUAUAGACUGGGAUAACAGAGGGAAACUUCUGAUAAUACUGGAUAAGUUAGUAGUAGCAUUACUAAGUACUGAAAGGUAGCAAUACGCUAUAUGAGAGCUUUGCAUCCUAUUAGCUAGUUGGUGGGGUAAAAGCCUACCAAGGCGAUGAUAGGUAGCCGGCCUGAGAGGGUGGACAGCCACAAGGGGACUGAGAUACGGCCCUUACUCCUACGGGAGGCAGCAGUGGGGAAUAUUGGACAAUGGAGGCAACUCUGAUCCAGCAAUUCUGUGUGUGUGAAGAAGGUUUUAGGACUGUAAAACAGUUUUAGUAGGGAAGAAAGAAAUGACGGUACCUACAGAAGAAGCGACGGCUAAAUACGUG